AGAGUAGUAUUUCUAAAAAGAAUUUAUGAUUUGCAAUUAUAAGAUGUAAUUAUUUUACCUACUUUA
RNAcentral lists this transfer RNA (66 nucleotides) under Trypaea australiensis. RNAcentral's name for it is "tRNA-Ala". The record is from RNAcentral. RNAcentral also lists the same sequence under 1 other name. Lineage: Eukaryota; Metazoa; Arthropoda; Malacostraca; Decapoda; Callianassidae.